Molecule: ribosomal RNA, 217 nt
Filed under: uncultured bacterium
Lineage: Bacteria
Description: partial 16S ribosomal RNA
Rfam family: Bacterial small subunit ribosomal RNA
Source: RNAcentral
GUACUCAGUUCGGAUUGCAGGCUGCAACCCGCCUACAUGAAGUUGGAAUUGCUAGUAAUCGCGGAUCAGCAUGCCGCGGUGAAUACGUUCCCGGGCCUUGUACACACCGCCCGUCACACCAUGGGAGUUUGUAACACCCAAAGCCGGUGGGGUAACCUUUUGGAGCCAGCCGUCUAAGGUGGGACAGAUGAUUAGGGUGAAGUCGUAACAAGGUAAC